Molecule: long non-coding RNA, 2768 nt
Organism: Pungitius pungitius (ninespine stickleback)
Lineage: Eukaryota; Metazoa; Chordata; Actinopteri; Perciformes; Gasterosteidae
Exons: 5
Source: RefSeq, a predicted model, not a curated record
GGGUCGGGUUUUAACAGAUAGGAGGUUUGUGCUGGUCUGCUGCUCCAAUACUACUUCAGAGACAAUGCAAGUGUAUUUGUAUAGCAUAUUUAAACAAUGACUUUUCACAUGUAACCAUUAAAACCACCGAAAUGAAAAAAAUGUUACUGUCUGUUUGCCCAGUCAAACAGGAAGUCAUUUAUUUAAACCAUCGUUAGGGAAAUACACAGGUGGAUCCCGGUAUGAAGAAGCAGCUGGCCCAUCACAGCAGACCACUCCGCCAUCUGGAUGUUGAAACCUGCAGCUCCACCGCGGCUCUCUGUGGCUGGGAGCGUUUAGCCGUAAACGACGCUCUACACAUGUGUCUCAUCCUACUGACGCGCAUCAAACCCAGUUGUUGAGCUGAAUGCAUCAACUUCUGGGAACCUUUGAGAGCGACACGUUAUCAAAUCCCAGACACAAGACCGGAAAGACCAGAAAAACAGCAGCCUGAUCCAGAGAGGAUGGCGUCAUCUGUUCAAGCCAACUUCUCCUCACCAGUGAAGUAUAAUGCUGACUCGAACAACAAAGCAAAGAAGAGGCUAUUACCCAGUGGAUUGGACGCACUGGCCUACCUGCCCGUUCAGUUGAGGACGAAGAUUUUGUUCAAAUGAUGCUGACCAUUGAUAAGAGGUUGACGGUUGUCAAGGAAACAAAAAUAACUAAUUUAAUUGAUGAACUUUAAAAUGCCGAAAGGCAGACAUUUAAAGACAGACUCGCCACAGCAUGCAAAAUUACAUAUGGACAAAAAAAGGCCUCACAGCAGCAUUCCUUGCCAUUAGUGCAUGCUACUAUUGCACUCAGCAAAACACAUACUGCUGAGGCUUGAGCAGAUCUCCCACCCACACACUGCAGAGUGUAUAAAAACAUGUGUUGACCGAUGCACAGAGGACUGGGGAAUUUCAAAAGAAAAGAUUCUGACUGUAAUAACAGAUAACGGGAGCAACAUGGUUGCAGCAUUCAAAAACGAAGAUGAUGAGCACAGCUCUGAGGAUGAAGAAGUCCAGAACAGUGAUGAAGAGUUUGAGGAGGGUGAUGAAGAGCAAAAAGGUACGGAGCCAUAAAGAGGACACCCUGCGCUGUACACACGAUGCAACUCGUGGUUAACAUGACCCAGAAGGAACAAAGUGUAAAACGACUCUUUGACAAACUAAGAGGACUUGUCAGGCUCUUCCGCAAGUCGUCUGCAGCAACUGAGCGACUGCUCGAGCUGUGUGGACUUACUCUGGUCAAAGACUGCGUCACUAGAUGGUCCAGCUCAUACCAGAUGAUCUCCCGCCUUCUUGAAGUGAAGGACUCAAUUGUCCAGGUUGCUGAUGGGAUGGAUUGGGACUGUCUCCUGCCCAGUGAGUGGCAGAAGCUGGCUGCUCUCAGAGACCUGCUCCUCCCCUUCGCAGAGCAUACCAAGAUGCUACAGAGCGACACCAUGUCCCUAUCCCUGGUGGUUCCCGCCCUCUUGGACCUGAGUGCUCACCUGUCCCAGUUACCCCAGGGCACUGGCUACAGGGACCUAGCUGGCCUGGCACAAAAAAUGAAGGCAAACAUGGAGCAGCGCUUCAGCUGCUUCCUUGAGCCCAUGGAUCCAAAGUUCUCGCCCCUCGCCACCGCUGCAUGCUUCCUUGAUCCAACUGUUUCACCUGAAACCCUCAUUGAAAAUGAGGACAGCCAAAUUCACCCACAUGGAAAGAACCUAUAUAAACAUAUAUGUUUUAAUAUAUGUUUUGAUAUAGGUAAUUGAUAUAUGUGACAUAUAUAAAAUUGGCCGUUUUCCUAUGUUAUAUUAUAUAUGUACAUAUAUGCGCCACAUAUAUGCAGGCAUAUAUGCACGCAUACAUGUACACAUAUAUAUACAUGCAUAAAUGUACCUAUAUAGGUACAUAUAUGCACAUACUGUAUGUCCACCUAUAUAUUAGUAAAAUUAUUAAAAUCCAAACUAGGAAACAAAAAUAAAAGCCCAAAAUGUGGAAAUUUACACGCACAACCAUCUCUAGGGUUUACAGAGAAUGGUCCGAAAAAGAAAAAACAUCCAGUGAGAGGCAGUUCUGUGGGCGGAAAUGCCUUGUUGAUGCCAGAGGUCAGAGGAGAAUGGCCAGACUGGUUCGAGCUGAUAGAAGGGCAACAGUGACUCAAAUAACCACCCGUUACAACCAAGGUGGGCAUAAGAGCAUCUCUGAACGCACAGUACGUCGAACUUUGAGGCAGAUGGGCUACAGCAGCAGAAGACCACACCGGGUGCCACUCCUUUCAGCUAAGAACAGGAAACUGAGGCUACAAUUUGCACAAGCUCAUCAAAAUUGGACAAUAGAAGAUUGGAAAAACGUUGCCUGGUCUGAUGAGUCUCGAUUUCUGCUGCGACAUUCGGAUGGUAGUGUCAGAAUUUGGCGUCUACAACAUGAAAGCAUGGAUCCAUCCUGCCUUGUAUCAACGGUUCAGGCUGGUGGUGGUGGUGUCAUGGUGUGGGGAAUAUUUUCUUGGCACUCUUUGGGCCCCUUGGUACCAAUUGAGCAUCGUUGCAACGCCACAGCCUACCUGAGUAUUGUUGCUGACCAUGUCCAUCCCUUUAUGACCACAAUGUACCCAACUUCUGAUGGCUACUUUCAGCAGGAUAAUGCGCCAUGUCAUAAAGCUGGAAUCAUCUCAGACUGGUUUCUUGAACAUGACAAUGAGUUCGCUGUACUCAAAUGGCCUCCACAAUCACCAGAUCUCAAUCCAAUAGAGCAUCUUUGGGAUGUGGUGGAACGGGAGAUUCG